This is a long non-coding RNA of Xiphophorus couchianus (Monterrey platyfish), 115 nucleotides long. RefSeq lists it as uncharacterized. The record is from RefSeq and is a predicted model, not a curated record. NCBI's taxonomy places the organism in Eukaryota, Metazoa, Chordata, Actinopteri, Cyprinodontiformes, Poeciliidae. The transcript is spliced from 3 exons.
AAUCACACAUUGUUCCAAUUAACCCUCUAUGGCAUGGUGUUGCCCACAGGCAACAAACCACAUAUCUAUACCUCACGUUCCUCCUUUAUUUUAUUUUUUGGGGGGCGUGAUUUAA